This 253-nucleotide ribosomal RNA is filed under the name uncultured bacterium. RNAcentral describes it as "partial 16S ribosomal RNA". It matches the Rfam family "Bacterial small subunit ribosomal RNA", at positions 524 to 776 of the family's 1533-position model. The record is from RNAcentral.
GACGGAGGGUGCAAGCGUUGCUCGGAUUCGCUGGGCGUAAAGAGCACGUAGGCGGCUUGGUAAGUCUGAUGUGAAAGCCCUGGACUCAAUCCAGGAAGUGCAUUGGAUACUGCUAGGCUAGAAUGCAGGAGGGGUAAGCGGAAUUCCAGGUGUAGAGGUGAAAUUCGUAGAUAUCUGGAGGAACAACGGUGGCGAAGGCGGCUUACUGGACUGAUAUUGACGCUGAGGUGCGAAAGUGUGGGGAGCAAACAGG